Molecule: microRNA precursor, 96 nt
Organism: Cebus imitator (Panamanian white-faced capuchin)
Lineage: Eukaryota; Metazoa; Chordata; Mammalia; Primates; Cebidae
Source: Ensembl
AGAGAAGCUGGGCAAGUAGUGGACUCAGCUGAUUGUGGAGAGCACCACAGUGGUCACCACACAGUCCUCUGAGGUUGGAGCUGCUGAGAUGACACU